RNAcentral lists this ribosomal RNA (436 nucleotides) under uncultured bacterium. RNAcentral's name for it is "bacterial SSU rRNA". It matches the Rfam family "Bacterial small subunit ribosomal RNA", at positions 74 to 507 of the family's 1533-position model. The record is from RNAcentral.
UUGUGCUUGCACUAAUUUGUUGACGACCGGCGCACGGGUGAGUAACGCGUAUCCGACCUACCCAUAACUCGGGCACAGCCGCUCGAAAGAGCGAUUGAUUCCCGAUAUGUCCUUGGAGUAGAUUCAAUGAUGAAAGAUUUAUCGGUUAUGGAUGGGGAUGCGUAAGAUUAGGUAGUAGGCGGGGUAACGGCCCACCUAGCCGACGAUCUUUAGGGGUUCUGAGAGGAAGGUCCCCCACACUGGUACUGAGACACGGACCAGACUCCUACGGGAGGCAGCAGUGAGGAAUAUUGGUCAAUGGGCGGAAGCCUGAACCAGCCAAGUAGCGUGAAGGAUUACAGCCCUACGGGUUUUAAACUUCUUUUAUAUAAGAGUAAUGUGCACUACGUGUAGUGUAUUGCAAGUAUUAUAUGAAUAAGCAUCGGCUAACUCCGUG